Medicago truncatula (barrel medic) is the source of this 761-nucleotide long non-coding RNA. RefSeq lists it as uncharacterized. The transcript is spliced from 2 exons. NCBI's taxonomy places the organism in Eukaryota, Viridiplantae, Streptophyta, Magnoliopsida, Fabales, Fabaceae. The record is from RefSeq and is a predicted model, not a curated record.
CAAAACUGUGUCCCUCUUCAUUCUGAUUUCUCAUAUAAAUACAAUGCAAUUACAAGCUUUCAAGUUGACUUUCAACCCACUAAAUUAGCUAAACUGACAUAUAUACAUUUACAUCUAAUUAUGCUAAUUGAUAGAAUGAUUAUUUGACUAUUUACAAAUAAAUGUGCAAUCUUAUAAAAUUUGAUUUGCCAUUUAUUCCAUUGACAAUAACAACAUCUUAUUUUGGUAAGUUUAUAACAUUGUAAACUUAAUUAUUUGGCAGAUUAUAACAAACGGAAUAUACCCAAGCAUUGAACACCGAGCAACAGUGAACAUAAAAAUGGAAAGACUUUCUAUAGCUACAUUUUACAGUCCUGGUUGGGAAGUAAUUUUAAGGCCAGCACCAAUCCUCGUGACUCCAAAAACACCAGCACUAUUCAAAACAUCUAUUCUGGUGUCGCACUUGUAUUCCGAAGAAGGAACUAUUAAUGGAAAUAACAUCCUAUAUUCUGGUUCCCUCAGUCCAAGAGCUAGCAAAGGAACCGUUGACCAAAGUUCCAGAUCGAUAUGUUCUUCAAGAUCAAGAAACUAUUAAUUAAGUACUAUCUAACACUACCUCUUUUCCUCAAGUUCCUGUCAUUGACCUUGCAAAAUUGUUGUCCCAAGAUAUCAAUCUCAAGAGACAUGAGCUAGAGAAGCGACACUAUAUAUGCUUGCAAAGAAUGGGGUUUCUUUCAGCUGGUUAAUCAUGGAAUAAGUACUUCCUUGGUGGAAGAUAUGAA